AUUGAACGCUGGCGGCAGGCCUAACACAUGCAAGUCGAACGGUAGCACAGAGAGCUUGCUCUCGGGUGACGAGUGGCGGACGGGUGAGUAAUGUCUGGGAAACUGCCCGAUGGAGGGGGAUAACUACUGGAAACGGUAGCUAAUACCGCAUAACGUCGCAAGACCAAAGUGGGGGACCUUCGGGCCUCAUACCAUCGGAUGUGCCCAGAUGGGAUUAGCUAGUAGGUGGGGUAAUGGCUCACCUAGGCGACGAUCCCUAGCUGGUCUGAGAGGAUGACCAGCCACACUGGAACUGAGACACGGUCUAGACUCCUACGGGAGGCGGCAGUGGGGAAUAUUGCACAAUGGACGCAAGCCUGAUGCAGCCAUGCCGCGUGUAUGAAGAAGGCCUUCGGGUUGUAAAGUACUUUCAGCGGGGAGGAAGGCGGUGAAGUUAAUAACCUCACCGAUUGACGUUACCCGCAGAAGAAGCACCGGCUAACUCCGUGCCAGCAGCCGCGGUAA
RNAcentral lists this ribosomal RNA (504 nucleotides) under uncultured bacterium. RNAcentral's name for it is "partial 16S ribosomal RNA". It matches the Rfam family "Bacterial small subunit ribosomal RNA", at positions 30 to 523 of the family's 1533-position model. The record is from RNAcentral.